AGCAGCCGCGGUAAUUCCAGCUCCAAUAGCGUAUAUUAAAGUUGUUGCAGUUAAAAAGCUCGUAGUUGAACUUCGGGGUUUACCCAUUGGUCAGGCUUAAUUGUCUGUACUGGUGAGAUGAAUCUCUACCUUCUGAGGAACUUUCAUGCCAUUUAUUUGGUGUGAUGGGAAAUCAGGACUGUUACUUUAGAAAAAUUAGAGUGUUUAAAGCAGGCUAACGUCUGAAUACAUUAGCAUGGAAUAAUGAAAUAGGACGGACUGAUUCUAUUUCGUUGGUUUCUAGGAUCACCGUAAUGAUUAAUAGGGAUAGUUGGGGGCAUUAGUAUUCAAUUGUCAGAGGUGAAAUUCUUGGAUUUAUUGAAGACUAACUACUGCGAAAGCAUUUGCCAAGGAUGUUUUC
Molecule: ribosomal RNA, 400 nt
Filed under: uncultured Diversispora
Lineage: Eukaryota; Fungi; Glomeromycota; Glomeromycetes; Diversisporales; Diversisporaceae
Description: SSU rRNA
Rfam family: Eukaryotic small subunit ribosomal RNA
Source: RNAcentral